GGGGACCAUAGCGAGAUGGAACCACCUGAUCCCAUUCCGAACUCAGUAGUGAAACGUCUCAGCGCCGAUGGUAGUGUGGCAGGUGCCAUGUGAGAGUAG
This 99-nucleotide ribosomal RNA is filed under the name Hydrogenovibrio marinus. The record is from RNAcentral. Lineage: Bacteria; Pseudomonadati; Pseudomonadota; Gammaproteobacteria; Thiotrichales; Piscirickettsiaceae.